This 57-nucleotide non-coding RNA is filed under the name uncultured Arthrobacter sp. Lineage: Bacteria; Bacillati; Actinomycetota; Actinomycetes; Micrococcales; Micrococcaceae. The record is from RNAcentral.
CCCGCACCUCCCGGCCCCCGGACGACGGUUCAGUACCCGGCACGCGACAAGACUGGC